This 438-nucleotide ribosomal RNA is filed under the name uncultured bacterium. RNAcentral describes it as "partial 16S ribosomal RNA". It matches the Rfam family "Bacterial small subunit ribosomal RNA", at positions 339 to 795 of the family's 1533-position model. The record is from RNAcentral.
CUACGGGGGGCUGCAGUGAGGAAUAUUGCACAAUGGGGGGAACCCUGAUGCAGCAACGCCGCGUGGAGGAUGACGCAUUUCGGUGUGUAAACUCCUUUUAUAUGUCAAGAAAAUGACGGUAGCAUAUGAAUAAGCACCGGCUAACUCCGUGCCAGCAGCCGCGGUAAUAGGAGGGUGCAAGCGUUACUCGGAAUCACUGGGCGUAAAGGACGCGUAGGCGGGUUGGAAAGUCAGGUGUGAAAUCCUACAGCUUAACUGUAGAACUGCACUUGAAACUUCUAUUCUAGAGUAUGGGAGGGGGAGAUGGAAUUAGUGGUGUAGGGGUAAAAUCCGUAGAUAUCACUAGGAAUACCUAAAGCGAAGGCGAUCUCCUGGAACAUUACUGACGCUAAGGCGUGAAAGCGUGGGGAGCAAACAGGAUUAGAUACCCCGGUAGUC